UACAGAGGGUGCGAGCGUUGUCCGGAAUCACUGGGCGUAAAGGGCGCGUAGGUGGCGCGACAAGUCAGUGGUGAAAGUUCGACGCUCAACGUCGAAUCGGCCACUGAUACUGUUGGGCUUGAGCACUGUAGAGGCUAAUGGAAUUCCGGGUGUAGCGGUGGAAUGCGUAGAGAUCCGGAAGAACACCGGUGGCGAAGGCGGCCUGCUGGGCAGUUGCUGACACUGAGGCGCGACAGCGUGGGGAGCAAACAGG
RNAcentral lists this ribosomal RNA (253 nucleotides) under uncultured bacterium. RNAcentral describes it as "partial 16S ribosomal RNA". It matches the Rfam family "Bacterial small subunit ribosomal RNA", at positions 524 to 776 of the family's 1533-position model. The record is from RNAcentral.